CCGGCGCACGGUGAGUAACACGUAUCCAACCUGCCGUCUACUCUUGGCCAGCCUUCUGAAAGGAAGAUUAAUCCAGGAUGGCAUCAUGAGUUCACAUGUCCGCAUGAUUAAAGGUAUUUUCCGGUAGACGAUGGGGAUGCGUUCCAUUAGAUAGUAGGCGGGGUAACGGCCCACCUAGUCAACGAUGGAUAGGGGUUCUGAGAGGAAGGUCCCCCACAUUGGAACUGAGACACGGUCCAA
This 240-nucleotide ribosomal RNA is filed under the name uncultured bacterium. Its description in RNAcentral is "partial 16S ribosomal RNA". It matches the Rfam family "Bacterial small subunit ribosomal RNA", at positions 95 to 334 of the family's 1533-position model. The record is from RNAcentral.